This 350-nucleotide long non-coding RNA is filed under the name Marmota monax (woodchuck). Lineage: Eukaryota; Metazoa; Chordata; Mammalia; Rodentia; Sciuridae. The record is from RNAcentral.
CGAGCAUCCUCUAGCCGCACCGCACCGUACCUAGCCGCGCCAGCGGAGGGCCGCGCCCACGUCCUCCCGGCUGCCUGGCGCGCACCCGCGUGUCCCUGGCCUGAACCGGAACCGCUUGCCGAAGCCGCCGCUGCCGCUGGGACACCGGGCGCCGACAGCGAAGCGCGGGGGGUGGAGGCGGCCUGCGCGGCGCCGCCCGCCAUGGCCGCGGCGGGGUGAGCUCCGCACGGAGGCCGCAGUCGCGCGCGGACCUGAGCGCUCCUCCGCCGCGGACAGGCCGGCCGGGCUCGGGCGGGCGCGCACGGAGGCCGAGGAGAGCCGGUGCCGCCGCCCGCUCGUCGCCGCCGCCG